ACCUAGGUGGUGCAAACAGUUAACAUGCUUGGCUGCUAACUGAAAGGUUGGUGGUUUGAGUCCACCUAAAGGUA
RNAcentral lists this transfer RNA (74 nucleotides) under Loxodonta africana (African savanna elephant). It matches the Rfam family "tRNA". From Rfam's summary of the family: Transfer RNA (tRNA) molecules are approximately 80 nucleotides in length. Their secondary structure includes four short double-helical elements and three loops (D, anti-codon, and T loops). Further hydrogen bonds mediate the characteristic L-shaped molecular structure. tRNAs have two regions of fundamental functional importance: the anti-codon, which is responsible for specific mRNA codon recognition, and the 3' end, to which the tRNAs corresponding amino acid is attached (by aminoacyl-tRNA synthetases). tRNAs cope with the degeneracy of the genetic code in two manners: having more than one tRNA (with a specific anti-codon) for a particular amino acid; and 'wobble' base-pairing, i.e. permitting non-standard base-pairing at the 3rd anti-codon position. Lineage: Eukaryota; Metazoa; Chordata; Mammalia; Proboscidea; Elephantidae. The record is from Rfam by way of RNAcentral.